This 444-nucleotide ribosomal RNA is filed under the name Triticum aestivum (bread wheat). Its description in RNAcentral is "partial small subunit ribosomal RNA". The record is from RNAcentral. Lineage: Eukaryota; Viridiplantae; Streptophyta; Magnoliopsida; Poales; Poaceae.
AUGCCGGCGCCCUCAGCGUCCUUGUUCCCGAACUUGAAGAACCUCACUCUGCCGCUCUCCCUCGCCGGCGCCACCUUGCUCAACAGCGACGGCCGCAGCCACGCUGCGCCGCCGCCCAGCUGCGGGGUCCUCAGCACUCCCCCCACCGCCCGCGGCGACCUCCACCCGGAAGACGAGGACGCCGCCUUGGUCGCGAGCUGGAUGGUGCACGGGAUGGAGGCCAUGGCGCUUUGCGGCUUGUUGGAGCGCGAGCAGGUCUGGGAGCGAGAGGUGGAGAAUGGCAGAGAUAUAUGCAAGGGAAAGGAUAAGCAGCACCGAACUGUUUGGUGUGUACUUUGGCUGUGUGUGAAGACUGAAGAGCUUAGCCUGAACUUUCUGAAUCUUUUGCCUGCCUUCCUGUUUGGAGAUAUAUUGGACACUAGAGAUAUUCCGAAAGUGCACUAG